This 468-nucleotide ribosomal RNA is filed under the name uncultured bacterium. Its description in RNAcentral is "partial 16S ribosomal RNA". It matches the Rfam family "Bacterial small subunit ribosomal RNA", at positions 28 to 507 of the family's 1533-position model. The record is from RNAcentral.
GAUGAACGCUGGCGGCGUGCUUAACACAUGCAAGUCGAACGGAAAGGCCCAAGCUUGCUUGGGUACUCGAGUGGCGAACGGGUGAGUAACACGUGGGUGAUCUGCCCUGCACUUCGGGAUAAGCCUGGGAAACUGGGUCUAAUACCGGAUAGGACGAUGGUUUGGAUGCCAUUGUGGAAAGUUUUUUCGGUGUGGGAUGAGCUCGCGGCCUAUCAGCUUGUUGGUGGGGUAAUGGCCUACCAAGGCGUCGACGGGUAGCCGGCCUGAGAGGGUGUACGGCCACAUUGGGACUGAGAUACGGCCCAGACUCCUACGGGAGGCAGCAGUGGGGAAUAUUGCACAAUGGGCGCAAGCCUGAUGCAGCGACGCCGCGUGGGGGAUGACGGCAUUCGGGUUGUAAACUCCUUUCGCUAGGGACGAAGCGUUUUUGUGACGGUACCUGGAGAAGAAGCACCGGCUAACUACGUG